Coturnix japonica (Japanese quail) is the source of this 215-nucleotide non-coding RNA. Lineage: Eukaryota; Metazoa; Chordata; Aves; Galliformes; Phasianidae. The record is from RefSeq and is a predicted model, not a curated record.
CUGUAAAGUCACAGUUGAACCUGUAUCCGACCCAGCUUCUGAUGUCUGCAUUGUGGUCUCUGAGGAAAAUUAAGAAGCAAAAUUAAAAGGGAGUAUACAGGGAACUACAGGAUCCCUCGAUUUUGUGUAGGAGAAACAGCAAUACAAUGGACUGGAAGGCAAAUCAACAUUAAAUGAAAAUCAGGAAGUAGAUUAAAAACAUAAUAAUAACUGCA